UACGGGGGGGGCAAGCGUUGUUCGGAAUUACUGGGCGUAAAGGGCUCGCAGGCGGCCGACUAAGUCAGACGUGAAAUCCCUUGGCUUAACCAAGGAAUGGCGUCUGAUACUGGACGGCUUGAAUCCGGGAGAGGGAUGUGGAAUUCCAGGUGUAGCGGUGAAAUGCGUAGAUAUCUGGAGGAACACCGGUGGCGAAGGCGGCUUCCUGGACCGGUAUUGACGCUGAGGAGCGAAAGCCAGGGGAGCAAACGGG
Molecule: ribosomal RNA, 253 nt
Filed under: uncultured bacterium
Lineage: Bacteria
Description: partial 16S ribosomal RNA
Rfam family: Bacterial small subunit ribosomal RNA
Source: RNAcentral